RNAcentral lists this transfer RNA (73 nucleotides) under Araneus ventricosus. It matches the Rfam family "tRNA". Rfam says of the family: Transfer RNA (tRNA) molecules are approximately 80 nucleotides in length. Lineage: Eukaryota; Metazoa; Arthropoda; Arachnida; Araneae; Araneidae. The record is from Rfam by way of RNAcentral.
GCCCGGAUAGCUCAGUCGGUAGGGCGUUAGGCUUUUAACCUAACGGUCCAGGGUGCCAAUCCCUGUUCGGUCA